This 497-nucleotide ribosomal RNA is filed under the name uncultured bacterium. Its description in RNAcentral is "partial 16S ribosomal RNA". It matches the Rfam family "Bacterial small subunit ribosomal RNA", at positions 28 to 507 of the family's 1533-position model. The record is from RNAcentral.
GAUGAACGCUGGCGGCGUGCCUAAUACAUGCAAGUCGAGCGAACGGACGAGAAGCUUGCUUCUCUGAUGUUAGCGGCGGACGGGUGAGUAACACGUGGAUAACCUACCUAUAAGACUGGGAUAACUUCGGGAAACCGGAGCUAAUACCGGAUAAUAUUUUGAACCGCAUGGUUCAAAAGUGAAAGACGGUCUUGCUGUCACUUAUAGAUGGAUCCGCGCUGCAUUAGCUAGUUGGUAAGGUAACGGCUUACCAAGGCAACGACGCAUAGCCGACCUGAGAGGGUGAUCGGCCACACUGGAACUGAGGCACGGUCCAGACUCCUACGGGAGGCAGCAGUAGGGAAUCUUCCGCAAUGGGCGAAAGCCUGACGGAGCAACGCCGCGUGAGUGAUGAAGGUCUUCGGAUCGUAAAACUCUGUUAUUAGGAAAGAACAUAUGUGUAAGUAACUGUGCACAUCUUGACGGUACCUAAUCAGAAAGCCACGGCUAACUACGUG